Pezoporus occidentalis (night parrot) is the source of this 2591-nucleotide long non-coding RNA. RefSeq lists it as uncharacterized. NCBI's taxonomy places the organism in Eukaryota, Metazoa, Chordata, Aves, Psittaciformes, Psittacidae. The transcript has 2 exons. The record is from RefSeq and is a predicted model, not a curated record.
GCCUUCAGCACUUUGACAAUAUUAAUGACUUUAUGAUGUCAAAUGGCACUGUUCACUCCUGAGAUUAUGAAAUAUUUUAGACAAUUGUGAAUAGAGCAAACAGUUUAUGUAGAAAUGCCAUUGUUGGCUUAUCUUAAAGGUAGCACUCAGGCUAAUUUCAGAAACACUCUACAGAAGCAAACCAUUGGUAAACAAUACCAGUACCUUGCCUGAGCUGCUGUCUCAUUUCACAGCCUUCCCCUUGGGUUUUAAGAUGUUAUGGUUGGGAAGUGAACUUCAGCCAUAUCAGUUGAGAGAAAUACAUAAAGGAAUUUGAGGCGUGCCUGAAAAAAUAAUUCUAAAAGUCAUGCUCAGAGAACAAACGCACUUUUACUUUCAGUAGUGAAUCUGCUUUGAUUCCAACAGGAUCAUCUAAUGCCCCACAUUGUGCUUUUCACAUGACAGGGUGUUGUAGUCCCUAAUCAGUACCAGUACUGCACUGGAAUUUAGAGUGUUAGUGAUGUCUUUCUGCAAACAUUACAAACACUAUCAACACCUCUUUGAAGUUGUUUUUAAAAUUAUUUGGAAACUCCCCUACAAAAAAGACUUUAUACAGCUAAUAUUUCACACAAUUCAACAUUGUUCUUGAAAGCAUUUGUUAUUGUUUAUUCACAACACUAAUAAACAUUGGCUUGAGGCACUGAAUAGAUUAAACCAUAGACACAGUAGGAAAAAUAUUCUCCCUUCAUAAAACUUUGUAGGAUCAUUUGUUACGGUAUCUACUCUUUUGAUUUCUUAUUUGUGAGCCAGGUUGAUUUCAUGGAGUAGAUGUGUAUGUUGCAGCAACAUUACUUAGUUACAAAAAAAAGAAGACAGAUUAUCUUUUUGUUAAGAAAAUAUUAACAAAAGAGCUAUUGCCAUUGAAAGCUGCUCUCUUUCUCUGCAGUGUGGAGGUGUUGUACGGGCAAGACUUAAAACAACAGGGGACCUAAUUUGCUGAGAUGACACAUCACCUUACAUAUAUAGAACAUCUGUUACCAUGCUUCAUGGCAGAAUCUGCUUGACUGUGCUGGAAGCAUUAUCAGACAAAAUAUAAGUUGCCUUUCCCUGUACCGCUGCUUGGACAGUGAGCCAAUGUUUUAGAGUCUUACCAGCACCAGUCAUUCGUUUUGUCAGAUGCUUUAUUUCCUUAAACAAGGUUUUGGUUAAACUGGAGAUUACAUUUCAUAGAAGUUGGCAGGAAGAGUAAGACUGAGAAUGCACAUCAGAAACACUUUCUAAAGGAAUCCAAAAAUAUAAAGAGAGGUUUUCAUUACAACAAUGUGAUCAAUUUAAGCAGGUCCAAAAAAAUUUUAAAUGUCUCUUGCUUUUGAAAGACCAAGGUGACUAGUUGUACAGCCUUCCAACAAAGUGUAACAUGUGCUGCUUCUCUGCAGUAGACAAAUUAAGAAGACAAGAGGAAGGAAGAAAGCUUCUUCAUGGCAAGCUCUGCAGGCCAGAAUCAAUGUUGUAUUUAUAUGUAUCCACCCCAUGUUAAAACCAUAUCUCUUGACUGGGGUGACUUUUUUUCUGUUUUGAAGCAUUAGAAACACAGUUGUUUAGAAUUUAAUGAUCUGAAAUAGCUUAACCAUGUAGUCUGGAUUUUUUUUGGUCAUUUUUCAAUUUCUGCUUUUUGCUUCUUACCACAGAGCUUCAUUGCUUUGCAUAGAAAUGAGAGUCUAUGGAUAUUUUAAUUUAUUCCAGCAGAAUACAGAAUAAAAUGAGAAUUCUCCUUAAAAAUGCAAUCAAAACCCAGAAGUUUUGAGAAUUGGCCAUGUUUCCCUGAUCAGUGACUGCUUCCAAAGCCGAAGGGAGACUACUUCAAAAAUCUUACCAUUUAAACUGAAAAAAAAACAAUGCAAACAUUGUGUGCAGUCAUCAGUGUGGUAUUUUAACCCUAUUUAACAUUUCUCUUUGUUCUGAUUUGAGUGAAGGAAAGAAAAAAGUCUUUCAUUCUGGGAAGCUGACACAGAACAUGAGCCAACCAAAAGAAAGGGCCGGGAAAGCAGUUACGUGAGGAAAAACCCUCAGUUUUUCCAGUGUCAUCAGUCUUGGAGCACAUCAAACAUUCCCAUGAUGGAGCGAGGAAAUGAUUUUCCUCAGUCUUACAUCAUGUAUUAGCAAAGUACACUACUCAAAAAGUAGAAUGAAUUCCAAGUUUGUUUGAUGUUUUGUUUUCCUGUGAAGAACCUUGCAUUCAUCACUGCUUGAUGCAAAACACCAUCAUUUAGCCGGUCAGUACUGCGUACUUCAGUGAAGGUCAGAUGCCCACGUUACUAAUUCUUGAUUAACAUGGUUCAUACAGUUUUAUCCUUAUCUCCGUUCACCAAACAAGUACUUUUUCUUCAGUAAACUUCCUCUUGAAUCCACUUUUUUUUUCCUCCCCCCAUUACAUACAGGAAAUGAAGUUAGCACUUCAGCGAAAUAGACAUAUGACCAUGGGUCAUACCUGUCCAUGCACAGCACAUCUGCUUUCUGAUUUCUAGGCGUCUCCACUGCUAAAAAUUUCUGUUGAGCCAGGCCUCAUUUUGUGUUCAUCACAAUCAAUAUUAAAACAAGUGUCUGACUGAGCA